Anopheles merus is the source of this 897-nucleotide long non-coding RNA. RefSeq lists it as uncharacterized. The record is from RefSeq and is a predicted model, not a curated record. The transcript is spliced from 3 exons. NCBI's taxonomy places the organism in Eukaryota, Metazoa, Arthropoda, Insecta, Diptera, Culicidae.
ACUCCAAAUAUCGAAGCGUUCGACUCAGCUGUUUCCCGCCACCCAGAAUUCUCAGAAACCAAUUGAGAGCCAUCAUACCGUGUUGUGCGUUCGGUUCGCUCGCUCAGAGGACGCUCGUCCGUUUCGUGCUUGUUUUUCUGGUGAGCUGCUAACAGCUACGCGCAUUUGCGUCCUGUCGACGAGAAAAGUAAUAUCAUUUAUCAGCGCUGUGUGGCGUAUGGUAAAUGCGUGGCGUUCGUGUAUCCUUAAGCUGCUGGGUGGAAGAGUGUGGAGUGUGUAAGUGAAAAGGAGCAGAGCGCAUUCUACGGUGGCCUAAUUUGAUGUUUUGAUUCAGUGUUUAAAGAUACGAGUGCAGACAGAAAGAAAAGAAGAAAAACCUUACUGCAAAACAAUUGUUUAACGGCUCGUGUGUUUUAAGUGAAAAAGGCAUGGUAUCCGCUCGGGUUUGCAACCGGUGCAAGCAUAAAGGCAGUGUGCUGUGACGCAAACGCGUCUAUAUGCUGUUUUGGCGAGCAUCCCGCCACGGAUGAUGUCGUUGGUGGACGUUUGGAAAAGAAACGAAGAAUCUCAAACGCAGAGUGAGCACAAUAAGUUUCAAACCCAGUACCCAGCAAACCAUAUGCAACUGGACACGAUGCAGGAUAUCAUAUGUGAGGAAGAUACAGUGAGAAAACGAAGAACAGAAUAGCCUGAUUGGAUCUAUCCGGAAGCUCCCGGUGCGGUGGGGUGUUACAAAUAGCGCGAAGAACAUUCUACCAGAAAGCGCGCGCGUUUUUUGUUCUAUAAAGCAUUUCGAGAAAGAACGGAGACUGCAGACGGAUUGCAUAAUUCUCAUUCUACUCGGUUGAUCAUCCGCAUCAUCAUCUGAUUUACAACAGCGCAUUGAUAAAUGAAAAG